This 253-nucleotide ribosomal RNA is filed under the name uncultured bacterium. RNAcentral's name for it is "partial 16S ribosomal RNA". It matches the Rfam family "Bacterial small subunit ribosomal RNA", at positions 524 to 776 of the family's 1533-position model. The record is from RNAcentral.
AACGUAGGGGGCAAGCGUUAUCCGGAUUCACUGGGCGUAAAGGGCGUGCAGGCGGUUCGGUAAGUUGGGCGUGAAAUCUCCUGGCUCAACCUGGAGAGGUCGUCCAAUACUACCGGGCUAGAGAGCAGUAGAGGAAGAUGGAAUUCCCGGUGUAGUGGUGAAAUGCGUAGAUAUCGGGAGGAACACCAGUAGAGAAGGCGGUCUUCUGGACUGUUUCUGACGCUCAGACGCGAAAGCUAGGGGAGUAAACGGG